CUCAGCUGCAGGAAGGAGGCUUUGUUCCGUGUCCCCGGCAGUCUCAUCCUCUUAGCUGCUGCUGGUUUGAGGAGGGUUCUGUGCGGGUCUAGACGCCACCGCCUGAACAAGGUGCUUUCUAGAGGGGGCAAGUAAGCGAGCACCACUCGGUGUUUGCUCCGCAAAUGCCACCUGCUGGCCCGAACUGGGUUGGGCACUGGAGUUUCACGAGAGUGCUGAGGCGCCGGUCCCGCCAGGGAACAGGGCAUGCAUGCCUGCUCGUUAACCACUCAAUUCUGUCUUGGGAGCUGACCCAGCACAGCAAGCCAAGAAGAGGGACAGAAAGGAACAAAGCAGUCUUCAUUCCAGGGGACAUGAUUGUCCACACAGAUAAUCCAAGAGGAUCAAUGGCAGACUCUUAGAGCAAAUGCAAGAGAAAAUGUAGUCAUGGCCUCCUCGUUUCCCCUCAGAGCUGCAUGUGAGCCCUCCUUUCCAUCCCUUUCAUGGAUCC
This is a long non-coding RNA of Gorilla gorilla gorilla (western lowland gorilla), 490 nucleotides long. RefSeq lists it as uncharacterized. The record is from RefSeq and is a predicted model, not a curated record. NCBI's taxonomy places the organism in Eukaryota, Metazoa, Chordata, Mammalia, Primates, Hominidae. The transcript is spliced from 3 exons.